This 468-nucleotide ribosomal RNA is filed under the name uncultured bacterium. Its description in RNAcentral is "partial 16S ribosomal RNA". It matches the Rfam family "Bacterial small subunit ribosomal RNA", at positions 28 to 507 of the family's 1533-position model. The record is from RNAcentral.
GACGAACGCUGGCGGCGUGCUUAACACAUGCAAGUCGAACGGAAAGGCCCUGCUUUUGUGGGGUGCUCGAGUGGCGAACGGGUGAGUAACACGUGAGUAACCUGCCCUUGACUUUGGGAUAACUUCAGGAAACUGGGGCUAAUACCGGAUAGGAGCUCCUGCUGCAUGGUGGGGGUUGGAAAGUUUCGGCGGUCGGGGAUGGACUCGCGGCUUAUCAGCUUGUUGGUGGGGUAGUGGCUUACCAAGGCUUUGACGGGUAGCCGGCCUGAGAGGGUGACCGGCCACAUUGGGACUGAGAUACGGACCAGACUCCUACGGGAGGCAGCAGUGGGGAAUAUUGCACAAUGGGCGGAAGCCUGAUGCAGCAACGCCGCGUGCGGGAUGACGGCCUUCGGGUUGUAAACCGCUUUCGCCUGUGACGAAGCGUGAGUGACGGUAAUGGGUAAAGAAGCACCGGCUAACUACGUG